UGGAUCUCAAAUCAGACAAGACGACCCG
This 28-nucleotide ribosomal RNA is filed under the name Gracilariopsis lemaneiformis. RNAcentral's name for it is "partial 28S ribosomal RNA". Lineage: Eukaryota; Rhodophyta; Florideophyceae; Gracilariales; Gracilariaceae. The record is from RNAcentral.